Rattus norvegicus (Norway rat) is the source of this 108-nucleotide small nucleolar RNA. Ensembl annotates it as small nucleolar RNA SNORA44. Lineage: Eukaryota; Metazoa; Chordata; Mammalia; Rodentia; Muridae. The record is from Ensembl.
AGACAAAUAACCCUAUUAAAAAUGGGGUUCAAUGCCAGAGUAACGGAGAGACUUUGACAGCCCAGGUUAUCACAGUGCCUGCUGUUGCCACUCAGCUCUCCUAUAUGU